RNAcentral lists this ribosomal RNA (503 nucleotides) under uncultured bacterium. RNAcentral's name for it is "partial 16S ribosomal RNA". It matches the Rfam family "Bacterial small subunit ribosomal RNA", at positions 30 to 523 of the family's 1533-position model. The record is from RNAcentral.
AUUGAACGCUGGCGGCAGGCUUAACACAUGCAAGUCGAGCGGAGUGAUGGUGCUUGCACUAUCACUUAGCGGCGGACGGGUGGGUAAUGCUUAGGAAUCUGCCAAUUAGUGGGGGACAACAUCUCGAAAGGGAUGCUAAUACCGCAUACGUCCUACGGGAGAAAGCAGGGGAUCACUUGUGACCUUGCGCUAAUAGAUGAGCCUAAGUCGGAUUAGCUAGUUGGUGGGGUAAAGGCCUACCAAGGCGACGAUCUGUAGCGGGUCUGAGAGGAUGAUCCGCCACACUGGGACUGAGACACGGCCCAGACUCCUACGGGAGGCAGCAGUGGGGAAUAUUGGACAAUGGGGGGAACCCUGAUCCAGCCAUGCCGCGUGUGUGAAGAAGGCCUUAUGGUUGUAAAGCACUUUAAGCGAGGAGGAGGCUCUUUUGGUUAAUACCCAAGAUGAGUGGACGUUACUCGCAGAAUAAGCACCGGCUAACUCUGUGCCAGCAGCCGCCGUAA